UGCCAGACUCCUACGGGAGGCAGCAGUGGGGAAUAUUGCACAAUGGGGGAAACCCUGAUGCAGCGACGCCGCGUGAGUGAAGAAGUAAUUCGUUAUGUAAAGCUCUAUCAGCAGGGAAGAAAAUGACGGUACCUGAGUAAGAAGCCCCGGCUAACUACGUGCCAGCAGCCGCGGUAAUACGUAGGUGGCAAGCGUUGUCCGGAUUUACUGGGUGUAAAGGGCGUGCAGCCGGGAGUGCAAGUCAGAUGUGAAAUCCCGCGGCUCAACCGCGGAACUGCAUUUGAAACUGUGCUUCUUGAGUGCUGGAGAGGCAGACGGAAUUCCUAGUGUAGCGGUGAAAUGCGUAGAUAUUAGGAGGAACACCAGUGGCGAAGGCGGUCUGCUGGACAGUAACUGACGGUGAGGCGCGAAAGCGUGGGGAGCAAACAGGAUUAGAUACCCCAGUACU
RNAcentral lists this ribosomal RNA (448 nucleotides) under uncultured bacterium. Its description in RNAcentral is "bacterial SSU rRNA". It matches the Rfam family "Bacterial small subunit ribosomal RNA", at positions 329 to 794 of the family's 1533-position model. The record is from RNAcentral.